UACGGAGGGUGCAAGCGUUAUCCGGAUUCACUGGGUUUAAAGGGUGCGUAGGCGGGCAGGUAAGUCAGAGGUGAAAUCUCCGAGCUUAACUCGGAAACUGCCUUUUGAUACUAUCUGUCUUGAAUAUGGUGGAGGUAAGCGGAAUAUGUCAUGUAGCGGUGAAAAUGCUUAGAGAUGACAUAGAACACCCAUUGCGAAGGCGCUUACUACGCCUAUAUUGACGCUGAGGCACGAAAAGCCGUGGGGGAUCAAAACAGGG
This 259-nucleotide ribosomal RNA is filed under the name uncultured bacterium. RNAcentral's name for it is "partial 16S ribosomal RNA". It matches the Rfam family "Bacterial small subunit ribosomal RNA", at positions 524 to 777 of the family's 1533-position model. The record is from RNAcentral.